This 162-nucleotide unclassified non-coding RNA is filed under the name uncultured Ascomycota. RNAcentral's name for it is "sequence contains ITS1". Lineage: Eukaryota; Fungi; Ascomycota. The record is from RNAcentral.
CAGAGUUAGGGUCUCCAGGCCCGACCUCCAACCCAAUGUCUACCUUACCAUGUUGCUUUGGCGGGCCCGUCGUUCGUUCGACCGCCUCCGGGCCAGUGCCCGCCAGAAGCCCAACCAAAUUCUUCUAAACAAUUGCCGUCUAAGUAUACAAGCAAUAAAAUA